CCAAGGAGUCUAACAUGUGCGCGAGUCAUUGGGACCGCAAAACCUAAAGGCGUAAUGAAAGUAAAGGUCGACCUUGCGUCGACUAAGGGAAGAUGGGUUGCGUUACGAUGCAGCCCCGCACUCCCGGGGCGUCUCGUACUCAUUGCGAGUAGAGGCGCACCCAGAGCGUACACGUUGGGACCCGAAAGAUGGUGAACUAUGCCUGGUCAGGACGAAGUCAGGGGAAACCCUGAUGGAGGUCCGUAGCGAUUCUGACGUGCAAAUCGAUCGUCGGAACUGGGUAUAGGGGCGAAAGACUAAUCGAACCAUCUAGUAGCUGGUUCCCUCCGAAGUUUCCCUCAGGAUAGCUGGCACUCGCGUGAGCGAGUCUCAUCUGGUAAAGCGAAUGAUUAGAGGCCUUGGGGCCGAAACGACCUCAACCUAUUCUCAAACUUUAAAUGGGUGAGAUCUCUGGCUUGCUUAAACAGUGAAGCUACGAGAUUUCGGAUCAGAGUGCCAAGUGGGCCAAUUUU
Molecule: ribosomal RNA, 512 nt
Filed under: Rhoophilus loewi
Lineage: Eukaryota; Metazoa; Arthropoda; Insecta; Hymenoptera; Cynipidae
Description: eukaryotic LSU rRNA
Rfam family: Eukaryotic large subunit ribosomal RNA
Source: RNAcentral